Ricinus communis (castor bean) is the source of this 107-nucleotide non-coding RNA. The record is from Rfam. Lineage: Eukaryota; Viridiplantae; Streptophyta; Magnoliopsida; Malpighiales; Euphorbiaceae.
AGUCCAUGGUGUGGGCAGCAUCACAGUAAGUCCUUGUACCUCUCCCAAGUGUCAUACAUGGACUCAUCAUCAAACUGGAUAAAAGAAGAUAUGUCAUUUCUAAGUUU